RNAcentral lists this transfer RNA (70 nucleotides) under Acyrthosiphon pisum (pea aphid). It matches the Rfam family "tRNA". Rfam says of the family: Transfer RNA (tRNA) molecules are approximately 80 nucleotides in length. Their secondary structure includes four short double-helical elements and three loops (D, anti-codon, and T loops). Lineage: Eukaryota; Metazoa; Arthropoda; Insecta; Hemiptera; Aphididae. The record is from Rfam by way of RNAcentral.
GGUCUGGUAGCUCAGUGGUAGAGCAAUCGCCCGCAAGCGAGAGACUCGGGUUCGAUUCCCGGUCCGGUGG